UGUAUAAUGGGUCAGCGACUUAUAUUCUGUAGCAAGGUUAACCGAAUAGGGGAGCCGAAGGGAAACCGAGUCUUAACUGGGCGUUAAGUUGCAGGGUAUAGACCCGAAACCCGGUGAUCUAGCCAUGGGCAGGUUGAAGGUUGGGUAACACUAACUGGAGGACCGAACCGACUAAUGUUGAAAAAUUAGCGGAUGACUUGUGGCUGGGGGUGAAAGGCCAAUCAAACCGGGAGAUAGCUGGUUCUCCCCGAAAGCUAUUUAGGUAGCGCCUCGUGAAUUCAUCUCCGGGGGUAGAGCACUGUUUCGGCAAGGGGGUCAUCCCGACUUACCAACCCGAUGCAAACUGCGAAUACCGGAGAAUGUUAUCACGGGAGACACACGGCGGGUGCUAACGUCCGUCGUGAAGAGGGAAACAACCCAGACCGCCAGCUAAGGUCCCAAAGUCAUGGUUAAGUGGGAAACGAUGUGGGAAGGCCCAGACAGCCAGGAUGUUGGCUUAGA
RNAcentral lists this ribosomal RNA (501 nucleotides) under Escherichia coli. Its description in RNAcentral is "partial 23S ribosomal RNA". It matches the Rfam family "Bacterial large subunit ribosomal RNA", at positions 609 to 1110 of the family's 2925-position model. Lineage: Bacteria; Pseudomonadati; Pseudomonadota; Gammaproteobacteria; Enterobacterales; Enterobacteriaceae. The record is from RNAcentral.